UGCAUUCACUACUGAAAGUCGCUCUGGAUAAGAGCGUCUGCUAAAAUGACUAAAA
Salmo salar (Atlantic salmon) is the source of this 55-nucleotide non-coding RNA. Lineage: Eukaryota; Metazoa; Chordata; Actinopteri; Salmoniformes; Salmonidae. The record is from Rfam.